GUCAAGGUAGAUCUUCCUCCUUCACGCGCUUUUUCUUUUUUUUUUAACCGGCUAAUGAGAUCGCGCCACGUGGGGAUGGGAAGGACAGUAUGGUCAAUAACAAUAUGGAGAAAUCGGUGAAAAAACUCCGGAGAUGGGGAUCCGGUGCUCCUCGAGGACCGGAGUUUACCGUGCGACGGCAAGUGCGGUGCGUUGUGAACCGUCCGAUGAAGGCCGCGACUUUAUCCAAUGAUAUAAACUAAUUCAUGAUCGCAUGAUCAUCAAUCAUCUAUGACUAAGGUCGAUCUCAUUGACGUGGCACCGCCCGUGGCGGCGGAGGAGCCGCCCUUGUUGGCGGCGUGACGGGCCUCUGCUCGGAAGCUGCUCUGGAGCGCCAUGGCGGAGAUCGAGCCGCGAUCUCGGAUUCUCUGUGAGUUUGUUUGUGUUUCUCUCCGUUUUCUCUCCCUUGGCGAUUCGCGAGGAGCGAGACGGCGUCCGCUUCGGCGGUAGAGUCGAGGUCCGGCGGUUGAAUGAGGCGGAGCGCUCGAAUGAACGGCGGUAGCGCCUCGCGAGGCCGCGAUCGACGGCACGGCGGUGCGCAUGCUCGUAUGAUGGCGCGAUCGUUAUGCUUCUCUGUCGAUGGUGACCCCUCGAUGGGUAGGUUCGAUGGGCUCAGGUUGCAGAGUCGCGACGGCAUCACGGGGGCGCCGGAUGAAGUCUGACACGAGUCCGAAAGCUCGCAAGGAGAUCGUUAUGCAUUUGCGUCGUGAUCGUGAAGGAGGUAUAUGCUUCAGUUGUUGUGGAAUACAGAAUCGUGCAUUGAAUUGUCACUGGAAAUGAGCCAUCACAGGAAUGUAUUAGCAAGUUUGGACUUUUGCACGGCACUGAGUGGAUCGAAGUUAAGUUCACUCGUUUGAUGAUGGCCUUAUUUGGAGUAUCAGCGCACGAUCUGUCCACCAUCGAAACUUAGCUUCUCAUGUUGAAUCUGUCUCAAUCUGAAAUGCGCAUCCUUUGUUAGGGGUGCCGAGCGCUGCCGGAAGAUCGUAGCGGCAAGAAGGUCUAGACAUUUGUUUCUUUUUGCCCCCGUUUCAUCAUUACACUUGUCGUUCGGGAUUCUUGUUGAAUAUCAUUUGGAAUUCACUGCGCACGAGUCAGUCUUCCGUAGGCUUCACGCACCCUAAACUUCUGGUCUCAUCAGAUGAACAACUUCCUAGUUUUCUUGCGCAUAACUAUGAUCCCCUUGAUCUGUCCCGAGGCAUGAAGUCUAUGGAGUAGAUUUACCGAGGCAGUCUGUUCGCCUCUUUUGAUGGCUGGUUGACAAGAACCGCUUCAUCACACUCAUCUUGCGCCGGUGUUGCAAUAUUACGCGGCAUUGUGCUCCAGUUGAUUGAAUGACGACACCUCUCAUUAACAAUGCCAUGGUUCAUUGCACCUUCAGAGUUGAACCCAGAAUCUUUGUGGGUCUGCUCUCCUCCUCAAUACUCGAACAAAUACUCUGUUUUUUUAAUGAUUGAACAGUAGCUCCCGAACUCAUUCUUCUGUAUCCAGGUCCUUGAUUUCCUGUAGUACAGCAGACUCUUUCUUAAUAAAGAUUCUUCACAUUAUUCGUAUCCAACUUCCUGUUUUCUCUUCCUGAUAGAUGGAAUAAUCGGUCACUUUUUGCAUGUUAGUCCCCCUUUCUUACCUUUUUUAAGGAAAUGCAGUAUUCGACAUGCCUGUGACAUCUGCAAUGUGUAAAAUUUCUCUUUGUUCUGGCGUGUGUUUGUAAAAUAUCUUCUGAGUAGACUCCUCUUCAAUUACUUUUGGCUUUCUCAGAUCAUAUUUUCCCUACCGGUCAUGUAUCAUAGCCCAGGUUUUCUUUGACUGACCCUGAUUUCUUUUUGCGCUCUGCUAACUCACUGCCUUCUUGCUUGUGUGGGUCGUUGAUUUGGCUGAGCCAGAGGUUGCUGAGGAACUUCCGAGCUAAAAGGGUUACAUGCACUCGGAUCGUUAAGAUCUCACGAAAGCUUGGAGUUUCUUCAAAAAAAUUGUGAGCUGGCGUAGCAUGUGAAAUGAAGGAUCGACCGAAUUCUGCACGGUUUUGACUCCUGUUGGUUCUGUUAAGUAUCAAGAUGUAGGAGCAUUGGUUUUUCAUGCCAUAUUCAAGAGGAAUUCGGAAAAGCGGGCGAAUUUGAAUAAUUCUGUGUAGCAUUGUUCAUUUUCUGCAAUCUGCAUUGCUCCUCUGGCCAUAGCACAUGACCCGGUAAGAAGCUCUGGUUUGACGAAUGUCGGCCCCUUAGAACUGCUCAAAAGAUUUAGACCGCUUUGAUUACAAUUAUCAACUUAGUACACUUUUGACUGAUUGGGCAGAAGAAUCUGCAAAUGAAAGACGUGAAAUUUGUUGAGUU
Molecule: long non-coding RNA, 2366 nt
Organism: Syzygium oleosum
Lineage: Eukaryota; Viridiplantae; Streptophyta; Magnoliopsida; Myrtales; Myrtaceae
Exons: 2
Source: RefSeq, a predicted model, not a curated record